Molecule: transfer RNA, 71 nt
Filed under: Marmota monax (woodchuck)
Lineage: Eukaryota; Metazoa; Chordata; Mammalia; Rodentia; Sciuridae
Description: tRNA.Ala
Rfam family: tRNA
About the family: Transfer RNA (tRNA) molecules are approximately 80 nucleotides in length. Their secondary structure includes four short double-helical elements and three loops (D, anti-codon, and T loops).
Source: RNAcentral
GGGGUUGUGGCUCAGUGGUAGAGCGCUCGCCUAGCAUGUGUGAGGCCCUGGAUUCGAUCCUCAGCACCACA